UACGUAGGGGGCUAGCGUUAUCCGGAAUUACUGGGCGUAAAGGGUGCGUAGGUGGUUUCUUAAGUCAGAGGUGAAAGGCUACGGCUCAACCGUAGUAAGCCUUUGAAACUGGGAAACUUGAGUGCAGGAGAGGAGAGUGGAAUUCCUAGUGUAGCGGUGAAAUGCGUAGAUAUUAGGAGGAACACCAGUUGCGAAGGCGGCUUCCUGGUCUGUAACUGUACACUGAGGCGCGAAAGCGUGGGGAGCAAACAGGAUUAGAUACCCCUGUAGUCCCUGAGCGGGCU
RNAcentral lists this ribosomal RNA (284 nucleotides) under uncultured prokaryote. RNAcentral's name for it is "partial 16S ribosomal RNA". It matches the Rfam family "Bacterial small subunit ribosomal RNA", at positions 524 to 817 of the family's 1533-position model. The record is from RNAcentral.